Molecule: ribosomal RNA, 427 nt
Filed under: uncultured bacterium
Lineage: Bacteria
Description: bacterial SSU rRNA
Rfam family: Bacterial small subunit ribosomal RNA
Source: RNAcentral
UGGGGAAUAUUGGACAAUGGGCGCAAGCCUGAUCCAGCAAUGCCGCGUGUGUGAGGAAGGCCUUCGGGUUGUAAAGCACUUUUAUCAGGAGCGAAACGCUGUCGGCUAAUACCCGGCGGAACUGACGGUACCUGAGGAAUAAGCACCGGCUAACUUCGUGCCAGCAGCCGCGGUAAUACGAAGGGUGCAAGCGUUACUCGGAAUUACUGGGCGUAAAGCGUGCGUAGGUGGUUGUUUAAGUCUGAUGUGAAAGCCCUGGGCUCAACCUGGGAAUGGCAUUGGAAACUGGGCAGCUAGAGUGCGGUAGAGGGGAGUGGAAUUCCUGGUGUAGCAGUGAAAUGCGUAGAGAUCGGGAGGAACAUCUGUGGCGAAGGCGACUGCCUGGACCAGCACUGACACUGAGGCACGAAAGCGUGGGGAGCAAACA